UACGAAGGGGGCUAGCGUUGCUCGGAAUCACUGGGCGUAAAGCGCGCGUAGGCGGAUCUGCAAGUCGGGGGUGAAAUCCCGAGGCUCAACCUCGGAACUGCCUUCGAUACUGCGGGUCUCGAGUCCGGGAGAGGUGAGUGGAAUUCCUAGUGUAGAGGUGAAAUUCGUAGAUAUUCGGAAGAACACCAGUGGCGAAGGCGGCUCACUGGCCCGGUACUGACGCUGAGGUGCGAAAGCGUGGGGAGCAAACAGG
This 253-nucleotide ribosomal RNA is filed under the name uncultured bacterium. RNAcentral describes it as "partial 16S ribosomal RNA". It matches the Rfam family "Bacterial small subunit ribosomal RNA", at positions 524 to 776 of the family's 1533-position model. The record is from RNAcentral.